RNAcentral lists this ribosomal RNA (468 nucleotides) under uncultured bacterium. Its description in RNAcentral is "partial 16S ribosomal RNA". It matches the Rfam family "Bacterial small subunit ribosomal RNA", at positions 28 to 507 of the family's 1533-position model. The record is from RNAcentral.
GACGAACGCUGGCGGCGUGCUUAACACAUGCAAGUCGAACGGAAAGGCCCUGCUUUUGUGGGGUGCUCGAGUGGCGAACGGGUGAGUAACACGUGAGUAACCUGCCCUUGACUUUGGGAUAACUUCAGGAAACUGGGGCUAAUACCGGAUAGGAGCUCCUGCUGCAUGGUGGGGGUUGGAAAGUUUCGGCGGUUGUGGAUGGACUCGCGGCUUAUCAGCUUGUUGGUGGGGUAGUGGCUUACCAAGGCUUUGACGGGUAGCCGGCCUGAGAGGGUGACCGGCCACAUUGGGACUGAGAGACGGCCCAGACUCCUACGGGAGGCAGCAGUGGGGAAUAUGGCACAAUGGGCGGAAGCCUGAUGCAGAAACGCCGCGUGCGGGAUAACGGCCUUCGGGUUGUAAACCGCUUUGGCAUGUGACGAAGCGUGAGUGACGGUAAUGGGUAAAGAAGCACCGGCUAACUACGUG